Molecule: long non-coding RNA, 1109 nt
Organism: Arabidopsis lyrata subsp. lyrata
Lineage: Eukaryota; Viridiplantae; Streptophyta; Magnoliopsida; Brassicales; Brassicaceae
Exons: 2
Source: RefSeq, a predicted model, not a curated record
CUUCCGCCGUUUUCUUUUUCUCUUGUCUGUUCUCAGGAUUUCUUCACUCUCCAUGGAACAAAUAUCAAAUCACAAUUCCAUGGAUCCGGUGGUUAUUAUAUCUAAAAGAAAAUCAAACAAAGCAUCCACCAAGUUACUUUCUCCCGCGAAAGCUUCAAAUCAGUUGGGUUCUCGGCGUUCAAAGCUAUCGCAAUCAAUAGGCGCAUUUGCAUGGGCAACCGGGUAAAUGAUCUUCCACAGACCUCUACGUCACGAGCAGCACCACAGUCUUCGUUUCCUGUGCAUCUCAAGAAUGAACUUCAAGCUGCCAUAAAUGAUGCCACCAAAGUUCUUGGGCGUCUAACAUCUAUUCUUGAUGAAAUCAAUAAGCACGGGGGAGACAACUAGAGGAUUAAAUCUCUGCUUCAAGCUUAUUUUAUUGGCGCCUUCUUAUUAGUUUUUCUUGUGGCGUUUUAUCUAGGCGGUUUAAUCUCUUAGUUGUUCUUUUUGGUAUGAUUCUUAGUUAGUCAAAAAGGGGGAGAAUGUAGAAUCCAUAUUCUAAGGAUCGUAAUUUGAAUUAUUAUGUCAUCUUAUUAAUUGCAAAUUUGGUUUGGAAAGUCUUGAUAAUGUGGGAAUUUGACUUUCCUUUGUCUGUGUGCUUUUAUUGUCUAACGUUCUUGUGUAAGGUAUUUGAUCUUAUUUCCUUGUUAGAAAAGGAAUGAGAUAUUGCAGGAUUAAUGACAAGAUACGUUGGUGGUGAAUAAAAGGGAGAAGACGCCUCUUCUCAUGAUACGCUUGCUCAUUGCAAAAACAGAGAAAAAUAAAACAGAGUUGAUAAUACAAGUGUUGUUUAGCUGCUAAGUUUUGGAAGAGAUUACCUUGAGAAGAGAUUUCUGUUGGUGUGAAGAGCACAAAGCAAAGACUUCUCCAAGAAGAAGACAGCCAUGAUUAAGGGGGAGUAAACUGAUUUUACUUGUAACCUUAGUUCAUGUUUCUUCGGUAGAUGUAUUAAAACUUGUGUAGAAGUUUUAGUCUAUCGUGUACUUGUCUUCUUGAAGUGAUCUAAUAAACUUGUUUGCAGCCCGAGGACUAGUGGUUGGUUUGAAAGAACCAACCGAUACCUCGUUAAA